CCAUCCGCUCGCCCCGGCUCUGCCCGGAUCGCGGCAGGUGCCCCCGGGAGGAGCCACGCCGGGGUUGGGGGGCCGUACACCGGCAGGUCCUCCUCCUCGCCGAGCUCUUGCGGCUCCGGUGGCACUGGCUGGGCCGGACCUUGGGGCGGAGGCUCGAGCGGUCCCUCCUCUUGGCCCGCCUGCUGCUGCUGCAGUUGCUGCUGCGGUGGUUGCGGCUGCUGCUGCUGCGGUUG
Molecule: long non-coding RNA, 233 nt
Filed under: Sorghum bicolor (sorghum)
Lineage: Eukaryota; Viridiplantae; Streptophyta; Magnoliopsida; Poales; Poaceae
Description: long non-coding RNA (SBIC_LNC000477)
Source: RNAcentral